Molecule: transfer RNA, 72 nt
Filed under: Candidatus Microgenomatia bacterium
Lineage: Bacteria; Candidatus Microgenomatota; Candidatus Microgenomatia (nom. nud.)
Description: tRNA-Ile
Rfam family: tRNA
About the family: Transfer RNA (tRNA) molecules are approximately 80 nucleotides in length. Their secondary structure includes four short double-helical elements and three loops (D, anti-codon, and T loops).
Source: RNAcentral
GCGCCCAUAGCUCAUCGGUAGAGCACCACUCUUAUAAAGUGGGGGUACUUGGAUCGUCACCAAGUGGGCGCA